CCUACCUCCGGGGGGAUACGCCUAGGCCAAAUAGCAAUACGCACGGUGAGCCCGACAGCGCGUCGGCGGAUACGGGGCGUCCUUGCCGUCCUUCGCGACUGCCUCGCCGUACAUGGACGGCAUGGAGCUGCCAUGGACCCCCAUCCGCUGCUCCCACUCUCGCAUUUCAAUUUUGAAUCUCACGGGCUACCUUUCCCCUUCCUCCAUCUUCGUCAAGACGGCAGAGCUCGCCGUUCGCCGCAUCUGGAAGAGAGCUGGGAAGGGAGGAUUCGAGUGGCCGGGCGCUCAUAGAUGAUGAUGGGCGGAGAAUUUGAGGGAUUCACCGACCUGCUCAUCAGAUUGUCAAGGCCAAUCCACGAAUUUGGCGCCUGAUUUGUUACCAAGCAUUCCGAUUCAUUCUUCCGAGACAAGCGCCCACACUUCGCCGUCCAGCUUGAGUUUUGAUUCCAGCGUGCGAGUGACUGAUCCAUGGCAAGCCGGAUUUGGGGAGGACGGAGACUGCAGCAACGAGCCAGUACACGAUGGCGUCGAUUCGCCCUUUUCAGCAGAAGUUGUCUUCUCAGCGCCAGAGUUGCAGAAUGAAUCACCCACGACUGCUGAUUCGCAUAUGCCGCCGUCAAGCGAGUCCCCUCCAUCAGAGCGCACCUGGAAUCUGAGUUUACUAUGAAUAAGCCUGAGAACUUUGGGGCAAUAAGCAAGCUCGCGUGGUGCCCUGACUGUCUUGCAUCUCAGCUGUCAUAUAUAAGUUGUGGCAUACAAAACUGGAAACUCGAUUAUCGCUCAGGGCACCAUUAGUACGUUCCCCGCUUUAUCUGUCUAUUUGUGGGCUGCAAUGGUAUCUCCAAUCUAAUGCUGGUGGGCUAGGUUCCAUGUGAAAUCAGCAAGAGGAAAACUGAUUAUGGCACUCAAUCAGGUCUGAGCAAAGUUUUCUGAUGGAGACGUGGACGUUUCUCUCACCGAGGCACGGAGGAUGGCUGGUGGUGGUGCUUGCCAUGCCCUCAAGAGCCAGCCUCCCAAGCUGUUGCUGGUGCUUGCCUCCCUGCCGGAGCUGCUGCUCCUAAUGCCGUCCACCACUAUGUCCUGCUGCUGCCGAUUAACUUCCAACCGCUCUUGACACAUGGACCAUAUGGAAGGAAGCAUAGAAGAUGUGAGGCAUUUUUGGUGAUCUGAGAGAGAACGAUAUGGCAGGGAACUUAGUAUGAAUUUUGAAAAUGGUGAACAAUAGGAUAUGACAUGUGAUAAGUUGUGAUUUCUCAAAUACUUAACAAUUAUGACAUGAUUUUGGUGACCCCUAUUCAGAAUAGGGCAUCUACAAUGCUCUCUUUUUAUGUGUAAAUAUGGAUGUGUUUGGGUUAA
Lolium perenne is the source of this 1356-nucleotide non-coding RNA. Lineage: Eukaryota; Viridiplantae; Streptophyta; Magnoliopsida; Poales; Poaceae. The record is from RefSeq and is a predicted model, not a curated record.